Molecule: long non-coding RNA, 577 nt
Filed under: Vigna radiata
Lineage: Eukaryota; Viridiplantae; Streptophyta; Magnoliopsida; Fabales; Fabaceae
Description: long non-coding RNA (VRAD_LNC012899)
Source: RNAcentral
UUGACUGUUCUGAUUUCUCUGAUCUGAUGAUUGUGACACACUGAGGAAAUUGUGUAGUUUAAGUGUGGUCUAUUAGGGGACAUUCUGAUUUUUCUUUGUUAGUUUUUGUUUUUUGCGUUAAAUUUUUUGUUUUUUAGGUAUUUUUUGUUUUUUCUUGUGUAAAGUUUUGCAUGUUUCUCUUGAUUUCGGGACUUUGUUUUGGUUGUAGAUGUGUCUUUCACUUCAUUGAUACUCUGAUUGAUUUGAAAUCAAUGCUUUUCUUUGCUUGGAAGAUGAUUAUGAUGUUUGAGAGUUGAAUUGAUUGCGACAGAAAUACCCUGUGUGAGAAUUUGAGCCACUUGAUAUUCUUUCUUGUGUGUGAUAUAUCUCUUGAUUGCUUGCACAUAUGCCUUGGCUUGACUCUUUUUGAUGAUUCUUGAUUGAUAUGCAUGUUUGAAAGUGAUAAAGGCAACUUUGUUGUUGAGCCUCUCUAGCCAAAUGAGUGAUGAGUUGCCGCGGCCCAUACAAAUUUGAUUGCAUAUGAGAAAUGCAGUAUAGACUAGGAAGUGACUCCUAGGUCGUCUCCCAAGGACCAAUU